Molecule: telomerase RNA, 405 nt
Filed under: Ceratophrys ornata (ornate horned frog)
Lineage: Eukaryota; Metazoa; Chordata; Amphibia; Anura; Ceratophryidae
Description: Vertebrate telomerase RNA
Rfam family: Vertebrate telomerase RNA
About the family: Telomerase is a ribonucleoprotein reverse transcriptase that synthesises telomeric DNA. Telomerase RNAs differ greatly in sequence and structure between vertebrates, ciliates and yeasts, but they share a 5' pseudoknot structure close to the template sequence. Vertebrate telomerase RNAs have a 3' H/ACA snoRNA-like domain.
Source: Rfam by way of RNAcentral
ACAGUGGGAAUAGGAGGGAGUCUAUAUUUCUAACCCUAAUAUACCCGGUUCAGGGCUCUUAUGUGGCGCUCGUUGUUUUGCCGGUUGCCUUUCAGCGGGCGAAAGAGCUCAGAGAAGCGAGGACCAAAAAACGGCAGCCGCGGGCCCUCCUGUUCCCACCAUCCCAGCUUUUCCACACUGCGCCUGGGUUCUCACUCAAGUGUUCGGCAGCUUCCACUUACGAGGCCGCGGUCUACCGCUGUCACUGGUAGUCGCGAAGAGUUCGUCUCUGUCAGCCUUGGGAGCCGCGGACGGAGUAUGAGGUCCAGUAAUGAGAGCAGGGAAGAGUAAAGCGAGCCGCGCUACUUGUCCUAUCUGCCGCUCCUAAGCUGUGGGGCGUGUAGGGUACACAAGGCUCCGACAUUC